AGCAGCCGCGGUAAUUCCAGCUCCAAUAGCGUAUAUUAAAGUUGUUGCAGUUAAAAAGCUCGUAGUUGAAUUUCGGGAUCAAUACGUCGGUCGUGCUUUCGGGUACGUACUGGCGUCAUUGGUUUCUCCCUUCUGACGAACCAUGAUGUCAUUAAUUUGGUGUUAUGGGGAGUUAGGACUGUUACUUUGAAAAAUUAGAGUGUUUAAAGCAGGCAUUAGCUUGAAUACAUUAGCAUGGAAUAAUGAAAUAGGACGUUCGAUCCUAUUUUGUUGGUUUCUAGGAUCAGCGUAAUGAUUAAUAGGGAUAGUUGGGGGCAUUAGUAUUCAAUUGUCAGAGGUGAAAUUCUUGGAUUUAUUGAAGACUAACUACUGCGAAAGCAUUUGCCAAGGAUGUUUUCAUUAAUCAAGAACGAAAGUUAGGGGAUCGAAGACGAUCAGAUACCGUCGUAG
This 450-nucleotide ribosomal RNA is filed under the name uncultured Glomeromycotina. RNAcentral describes it as "SSU rRNA". It matches the Rfam family "Eukaryotic small subunit ribosomal RNA", at positions 569 to 1023 of the family's 1831-position model. The record is from RNAcentral. Lineage: Eukaryota; Fungi; Glomeromycota.